UACGAAGGGGGCGAGCGUUGUUCGGAUUUACUGGGCGUAAAGGGCGCGCAGGCGGCCAUUCAAGUCAGGCGUGAAAGCCCCGGGCUUAACCUGGGAGGUGCGUCUGGGACUGGGUGGCUAGAGAUCGGGAGAGGAGAGUGGAAUUCCCAGUGUAGAGGUGAAAUUCGUAGAUAUUCGGAAGAACACCAGUGGCGAAGGCGACUCACUGGACACGUAUUGACGCUGAGGUGCGAAAGCGUGGGGAGCAAACAGG
This 253-nucleotide ribosomal RNA is filed under the name uncultured bacterium. RNAcentral describes it as "partial 16S ribosomal RNA". It matches the Rfam family "Bacterial small subunit ribosomal RNA", at positions 524 to 776 of the family's 1533-position model. The record is from RNAcentral.